This 76-nucleotide ribosomal RNA is filed under the name Coregonus artedi (cisco). Lineage: Eukaryota; Metazoa; Chordata; Actinopteri; Salmoniformes; Salmonidae. RNAcentral also lists the same sequence under 1 other name. The record is from RNAcentral.
UCGGAAGCUAAGCAGGGUCGUGCCUGGUUAGUACUUGGGUAGGAGACUGCCUGGGAAUACCAGGUGCUGUAAGCUU